Molecule: small nuclear RNA, 203 nt
Filed under: Xylariales sp. No.14919
Lineage: Eukaryota; Fungi; Ascomycota; Sordariomycetes; Xylariales
Description: fungal sp. No.14919 U2 spliceosomal RNA
Rfam family: U2 spliceosomal RNA
About the family: U2 is a small nuclear RNA (snRNA) component of the spliceosome (involved in pre-mRNA splicing). Complementary binding between U2 snRNA (in an area lying towards the 5' end but 3' to hairpin I) and the branchpoint sequence (BPS) of the intron results the bulging out of an unpaired adenosine, on the BPS, which initiates a nucleophilic attack at the intronic 5' splice site, thus starting the first of two transesterification reactions that mediate splicing.
Source: Rfam by way of RNAcentral
UCAGCUCUCUUUGCCUUUUGGCUUAGAUCAAGUGUAGUAUCUGCUCUUUUCAGUUUAAUCUCUGAAACGGGCCACACGUUUGGCUCGCAUCGUUGAUUAUCUUAUUUUUGACCCCUCGGGGCCCGAUUACCCUCUAGGCAUGCUCAUGGUUCGGCUCCACCGUGUCCCUGGUACUACACUGCUUCCAGGCGACGCAAAGGCCU